Molecule: ribosomal RNA, 476 nt
Filed under: uncultured organism
Description: partial 16S ribosomal RNA
Rfam family: Bacterial small subunit ribosomal RNA
Source: RNAcentral
CACUCCUACGGGAGGCAGCAGUGGGGAAUUUUGGACAAUGGGCGAAAGCCUGAUCCAGCAAUGCCGCGUGAGUGAAGAAGGCCUUCGGGUUGUAAAGCUCUUUUGUCAGGGAAGAAACGGUGAGAGCUAAUAUCUCUUGCUAAUGACGGUACCUGAAGAAUAAGCACCGGCUAACUACGUGCCAGCAGCCGCGGUAAUACGUAGGGUGCAAGCGUUAAUCGGAAUUACUGGGCGUAAAGCGUGCGCAGGCGGUUUUGUAAGUCUGAUGUGAAAUCCCCGGGCUCAACCUGGGAAUUGCAUUGGAGACUGCAAGGCUAGAAUCUGGCAGAGGGGGGUAGAAUUCCACGUGUAGCAGUGAAAUGCGUAGAUAUGUGGAGGAACACCGAUGGCGAAGGCAGCCCCCUGGGUCAAGAUUGACGCUCAUGCACGAAAGCGUGGGGAGCAAACAGGAUUAGAUACCCCAGUAGUCCCAUGAU